This 246-nucleotide ribosomal RNA is filed under the name uncultured bacterium. RNAcentral describes it as "partial 16S ribosomal RNA". It matches the Rfam family "Bacterial small subunit ribosomal RNA", at positions 523 to 769 of the family's 1533-position model. The record is from RNAcentral.
AUACGUAGGGGGCUAGCGUUGUCCGGAUUUACUGGGCGUAAAGGGUGAGUAGGCGGUUGUAUAUGUCAGAUGUAAAAGGCGUGGGCUUAACCUACGUUAGCAUUUGAAACUGUACAACUUGAGUGCAGGAGAGGUAAGUGGAAUUCCUAGUGUAGCGGUGAAAUGCGUAGAUAUUAGGAGGAACACCAGUGGCGAAGGCGACUUACUGGACUGUAACUGACGCUGAGUCACGAAAGCGUGGGUAGC